GAUGAACGCUGGCGGCGUGCCUAACACAUGCAAGUCGAGCGGCAGCGCGAGUAGUUUACUACUUGGCGGCGAGCGGCGGACGGCUGAGUAACGCGUGGGAACAUGCCCCAAAGUGAGGGAUAACUGCCCGAAAGGGUAGCUAAUACCGCAUAUGAUCUUCGGAUUAAAGGAUUUAUCCGCUUUGGGAGUGGCCCGCGUCGGAUUAGGUAGUUGGUGAGGUAAAGGCUCACCAAGCCGACGAUCCGUAGCUGGUCUGAGAGGAUGAUCAGCCAGACUGGGACUGAGACACGGCCCAGACUCCUACGGGAGGCAGCAGUGAGGAAUCUUCCACAAUGGGCGAAAGCCUGAUGGAGCAACGCCGCGUGCAGGAUGAAGGCCUUCGGGUUGUAAACUGCUUUUAUAAGUGAGGAAUAUGACGGUAACUUAUGAAUAAGGAUCGGCUAACUACGUGCCAGCAGCCGCGGUCAUACGUAGGAUCCGAGCGUUAUCCGGAGUGACUGGACGUAAAGAGUUGCGUAGGCGGUUUGUUAAGCGAAUAGUGAAACCUGGUGGCUCAACCAUACAGACUAUUAUUCGAACUGGCAAACUCGAGAGUGGUAGAGGUCACUGGAAUUUCUUGUGUAGGAGUGAAAUCCGUAGAUAUAAGAAGGAACACCAAUGGCGUAGGCAGGUGACUAGACCAUUUCUGACGCUAAGGCACGAAAGCGUGGGGAGCGAACCGGAUUAUAUACCCGGGUAGUCCACGCCGUAAACGAUGGAUACUAGCUGUUGGAGGUAUCGACCCCUUCAGUAGCGAAGCUAACGCGUUAAGUAUCCCGCCUGUGGAGUACGGCCGCAUGGCUAAAACAUAAAGGAAUUGACCGGGGACCCGCACAAGCGGUGGAUCGUGUUCUUUAAUUCGAUGAUAAACGAAGAACCUUACCAGGGCUUGACAUCCAUGGAAGGUCUGCGAAAGCGGACUGUGCCUUUUGGAACCCUGUGACAGGUGCUGCCUGGCCGUCGUCAGUUAGUGUAGUGAGAUGUUUGGGUAAGUCCAUCAACGUCGUCACCCCUUGCAAUCAUAAGGAUUUUUCUAGUUGGACUGCCCCGGUAACGUGGAGGAAGGAGGGGAUGAUGUCAGGUCAAUAUUGCCGUCACGUCUUGGGCUGGAACCACCAUACAAUGGCUAUUGCAAUGCGCAGUGAAGCCGCAAGGUGGAGCAAAUCGCAUCAAAACUAGUCCCAGUUCGGAUUGGAGGUUGAAACUCCCCUCCAAGAAGUUGGAAUCGCUAGUAAUCGCAGAUCAGCAACAUGCGGUGAAUAAGUUUUCGGGUCU
Molecule: ribosomal RNA, 1314 nt
Filed under: uncultured bacterium
Lineage: Bacteria
Description: bacterial SSU rRNA
Rfam family: Bacterial small subunit ribosomal RNA
Source: RNAcentral